This 726-nucleotide ribosomal RNA is filed under the name Pseudomonas frederiksbergensis. Its description in RNAcentral is "bacterial SSU rRNA". It matches the Rfam family "Bacterial small subunit ribosomal RNA", at positions 22 to 741 of the family's 1533-position model. Lineage: Bacteria; Pseudomonadati; Pseudomonadota; Gammaproteobacteria; Pseudomonadales; Pseudomonadaceae. The record is from RNAcentral.
GCUCAGAUUGAACGCUGGCGGCAGGCCUAACACAUGCAAGUCGAGCGGCAGCACGGGUACUUGUACCUGGUGGCGAGCGGCGGACGGGUGAGUAAUGCCUAGGAAUCUGCCUGGUAGUGGGGGAUAACGCUCGGAAACGGACGCUAAUACCGCAUACGUCCUACGGGAGAAAGCAGGGGACCUUCGGGCCUUGCGCUAUCAGAUGAGCCUAGGUCGGAUUAGCUAGUUGGUGAGGUAAUGGCUCACCAAGGCGACGAUCCGUAACUGGUCUGAGAGGAUGAUCAGUCACACUGGAACUGAGACACGGUCCAGACUCCUACGGGAGGCAGCAGUGGGGAAUAUUGGACAAUGGGCGAAAGCCUGAUCCAGCCAUGCCGCGUGUGUGAAGAAGGUCUUCGGAUUGUAAAGCACUUUAAGUUGGGAGGAAGGGCAUUUACCUAAUACGUAAGUGUUUUGACGUUACCGACAGAAUAAGCACCGGCUAACUCUGUGCCAGCAGCCGCGGUAAUACAGAGGGUGCAAGCGUUAAUCGGAAUUACUGGGCGUAAAGCGCGCGUAGGUGGUUUGUUAAGUUGGAUGUGAAAUCCCCGGGCUCAACCUGGGAACUGCAUUCAAAACUGACAAGCUAGAGUAUGGUAGAGGGUGGUGGAAUUUCCUGUGUAGCGGUGAAAUGCGUAGAUAUAGGAAGGAACACCAGUGGCGAAGGCGACCACCUGGACUGAUACU